UGCUUUUAACAAAGUCCUGAGAGUUGAUUUGGAACAAGAAGAAUUGGACUUGAGCCGUUAUGCUACAAUUUCACAGCCGGGUAACACUGGGUAUAAAGCAUUGUUGGAGGAAGUCAUUGAGAAAACUGUGAGGUGACCUGCAAACUGGACCUGGGGACUAGAAGGUGCCUCAUCCUCUCUCCUGUCAUUGCCCCCACAUUCUACAUUCUACCACCAUUGCCAUGUGGGAGCUGUUCCAAGGAUGUAGCCUUGAGAGAGUAAGAUGUUGUUGAGACCUCUACGUGGUAUAUAUGACUGAGCCCAGUUAAGGCCUCUCUGUAAACUUUUAAGAUUCUGGCUGGUGGAUAUGGAGAUCUAUUCAUCUAGCAACUGCCCAAGACAAGCCUCUUAAAUGAUGUCCCUGACUCACAGAUGGUGCCUGUGGCCUCUUCUGCGAUUGGAGAUGAGGGCUGUGUGUUCACAGUGAUAGCCAG
Long non-coding RNA from Camelus dromedarius (Arabian camel), 473 nucleotides. RefSeq lists it as uncharacterized. The record is from RefSeq and is a predicted model, not a curated record. Lineage: Eukaryota; Metazoa; Chordata; Mammalia; Artiodactyla; Camelidae. The transcript is spliced from 3 exons.